AAGUCGUAACAAGGUUUCCGUAGGUGAACCUGCGGAAGGAUCAUUAACACGUAUCCAAACGUUAAACCCCCCUGUGAACCUUCACCUGUACUCGUACGUCCAAGCAGUUAGUGUCUGAAAGUGUCAUUAACUGUGUAAGGAUGACGCAGUCACGAUCGUUGGAGGCCCACACGGCCGACGACCGGGUCACUGGGCGCAAGCCCCCCUAUAACAAACGCUGCUAAUCGCGGCCGCGAUAAUACGCAGUCGACCAAAAACCGAACAACUGUUAACAAUGGAUAUCUUGGUUCUC
Molecule: unclassified non-coding RNA, 292 nt
Filed under: fungal sp.
Lineage: Eukaryota; Fungi
Description: partial internal transcribed spacer region
Rfam family: Eukaryotic small subunit ribosomal RNA (bases 1-46)
Source: RNAcentral